UGGAUGUCUUGGCGUUGGGAGGCGAUGAAGGACGUGGUAACCUGCGAUAAGCCUGGGGAAGCUGGUAAACGAGCUCCAAUCCCAGGAUUUCCGAAUGGGGCAACCCGGCCCGUAUGGGUCACUCUUGUCUGAAUGCAUAGGGCAAGAGAGCGAACCCGGGGAACUGAAACAUCUCAGUACCCGGAGGAAAGGACAUCAACCGAGACUCCGUUAGUAGUGGCGAGCGAACGCGGACCAGGCCA
RNAcentral lists this ribosomal RNA (242 nucleotides) under Chloropicon laureae. RNAcentral describes it as "partial Bacterial large subunit ribosomal RNA". It matches the Rfam family "Bacterial large subunit ribosomal RNA", at positions 25 to 271 of the family's 2925-position model. The record is from RNAcentral. Lineage: Eukaryota; Viridiplantae; Chlorophyta; Chloropicophyceae; Chloropicales; Chloropicaceae.